GCUCCCAUAGUCUAGCCCGGUCAGGAUUUUUUACUAAGAAAAUUCACCGAAAGGACACAAGCCUCUCGCGCUUGAGACGCGGGUUCGAAUCCCGCUGGGAGCA
This 103-nucleotide transfer RNA is filed under the name Nanobdellota archaeon. RNAcentral describes it as "tRNA-Glu". It matches the Rfam family "tRNA". Rfam says of the family: Transfer RNA (tRNA) molecules are approximately 80 nucleotides in length. Lineage: Archaea; Nanobdellati; Nanobdellota. RNAcentral also lists the same sequence under 1 other name. The record is from RNAcentral.